This 274-nucleotide ribosomal RNA is filed under the name uncultured bacterium. RNAcentral describes it as "partial 16S ribosomal RNA". It matches the Rfam family "Bacterial small subunit ribosomal RNA", at positions 523 to 796 of the family's 1533-position model. The record is from RNAcentral.
AUACAGAGGGUGCGAGCGUUGUUCGGAAUUAUUGGGCGUAAAGAGCAUGUAGGCGGUCUGUUAAGUCAGGUGUGAAAGCCCGGGGCUCAACCCCGGAAGUGCAUUGGAUACUGGCAGACUUGAGUAUGGGAGAGGAAAGCGGAAUUCCGAGUGUAGGAGUGAAAUCCGUAGAUAUUCGGAGGAACACCAGUGGCGAAGGCGGCUUUCUGGACCAAUACUGACGCUGAGAUGCGAAAGCGUGGGGAGCAAACAGGAUUAGAAACCCCGGUAGUCC